Long non-coding RNA from Myotis brandtii (Brandt's bat), 563 nucleotides. RefSeq lists it as uncharacterized. NCBI's taxonomy places the organism in Eukaryota, Metazoa, Chordata, Mammalia, Chiroptera, Vespertilionidae. The transcript is spliced from 2 exons. The record is from RefSeq and is a predicted model, not a curated record.
GAACCACUGCCUUCUUCUCUUCUGUAUCAGUCAGGUGGAUCCAUCCGGUAACUCAUCUAUCUAUCUAUCUAUCUAUCUACCUCAAACUUCCUGGUCACUUCACUUUGAGGGUUCAGCUGCCCACCCCUGCGACUGGUUAGAGCCAGCCUGCUGCCAAUCCCAACAGAGCUCUCCAAUUCUGAACCUCAGGAGGAAGGUGUCUCCCACCUGCCUUAUAUCUGCUUAGUAAGCGAGGAGUCUCCACAUCUGCGCUGAGGUGCCCAUCUAGUUCUGCUUCUGCAGAAACAGACUGGCGUUCUGUUUGCUAAAGAAAGGAAAAGUAGUAACACCUCAGAGGGAGGCGCCACCACUUACGUUUUCCCCACAGUGGCCUGCACAUGGAAGACUCCUGUGAAUGUUUGUUGUCUGAAGACAGCAGAGGUAAUUCUGAGACAAAUGAGUAGCAUCAUUAGUAAAGUUCAAAAGUCUGAGGGAUAGAUGGGAAUAACUAAAAUGUAUUCCAUCUAAGUGUCUACGUGUGCUAUGUCCUGUUUCUACAACCAAAUAUAAAUUAAAAUUUAAAA